CACCACUACACCCACUCCUCGGUGCUGUUCCCCCAAUCCCUUCUCCCCCGCACAUCUCGCUCGGUCGUCGUGGGUUGCAUCGCCGCCGCAGAAAUUGGAGCGCCCGCCGGCUGCCGCACAGGUCGCGGGUGGUGGUUGAGCGCGCGCGGGGCGGAGGCGCGAGAGGCUGCGGUGGUGCGCGCGAGGACUGCAGAAGAGAGGUGGAACGGGUGAAGGUCGCCGCGGUGCUCUGUCUCCAAUCCGCCAAGGGGUGCGGGGUGAAGGUCGCCGGCGACACUGCGUUUCCGGCGAGGGGACUCGCCACGGAAUUUCUGAGCAUCAACAAUGUCUGAGACAAGCAAAAAAAAAGUGACGGUCAGGUCGCACAAGCAACCCAACAGGGUGUAGAUGAAAUAGAGCGCAGGUACGCCCACCACAGCAACAAAACACGCCGGUAAUUGUCUACAAGUGUAUGCGCACUAAAGAGAUCAUCUAUCGCGGGAAGCGCCCAUCAUACAUAGAUAGUAAUACCAGUGCACCAUAUGCUGAUUUAGAAGGCAAGGAUAUCAUGCAAGAGGAGGAAUCCAAGCCAAAACGGCGGAGGACAUGCAAAAACGAGUAGGAACUAAUGGAUGGAUCAACCAAAAAGGGCAUUCAAGAAGAUCAUCAUGCAGUUAAUCGUGAUGCUGAUCCCUCGCAUGCGAUUGAAUAUCAUCAAGAGGUGUGUCAGAAAAAAGAUUCAAUAAACUUGUUGUGUGUUCUUUUAACUUGUUGCAUGUUCUUUUUGCAGUGCUAGAGAAGCACACCCUUUAUUGGGU
Molecule: non-coding RNA, 797 nt
Organism: Triticum urartu
Lineage: Eukaryota; Viridiplantae; Streptophyta; Magnoliopsida; Poales; Poaceae
Source: RefSeq, a predicted model, not a curated record